CCUACGGGAGGCAGCAGUGGGGAAUAUUGCACAAUGGGGGAAACCCUGAUGCAGCGACGCCGCGUGAGCGAAGAAGUAUUUCGGUAUGUAAAGCUCUAUCAGCAGGGAAGAAAAUGACGGUACCUGAGUAAGAAGCCCCGGCUAACUACGUGCCAGCAGCCGCGGUAAUACGUAGGGGGCAAGCGUUAUCCGGAUUUACUGGGUGUAAAGGGAGCGUAGACGGCGAUGCAAGUCUGAUGUGAAAGCCCGGGGCUCAACCCCGGGACUGCUUUGGGAACUGUGUGGCUGGA
RNAcentral lists this ribosomal RNA (290 nucleotides) under uncultured bacterium. RNAcentral describes it as "partial 16S ribosomal RNA". It matches the Rfam family "Bacterial small subunit ribosomal RNA", at positions 338 to 645 of the family's 1533-position model. The record is from RNAcentral.